This 495-nucleotide unclassified non-coding RNA is filed under the name Hevea brasiliensis (rubber tree). Lineage: Eukaryota; Viridiplantae; Streptophyta; Magnoliopsida; Malpighiales; Euphorbiaceae. The record is from RNAcentral.
GAUAGCAUGUGCAAGUCACAUUUGUACGUCUCAAGUCAUUUAUCUAUCAGAAAGAAGAAGAUAUCUGGCUAUUUGUUGUCUUUCCAAGAUAUUAUCGUUCUGGUCAUUGUUUUAAAGGAAACCAGGAACAAGUGCCUUUUUUUUUUUGUUGAAUCAUUUUUAAAAAUUUUUAUUGUUUCUUAAAAGCGUUGAAAAAGAUAUUGUAUGCUUUUGGACAGGAAAGAUAUCAAGAUUAUCAUGGAAUCAUGUUUUGAAAUUGAACUUAUAAGAGUUUAUUUGAAAGUGGAAGAACUAAUCUGUUAUCCUUACUCUUAGUUAAUUGAUAUUUUGGUUUUCUUAGUGUUAAUUUUUUGGUGUAACAGAGAAGUUUGACAUUCAACAUAUGUCCAUGGCCAUAACCGUACUUCCUGGGUAAUUUAUCAUAAAUGCAACAACUUCUGUGUCAUGUUCCUCAUUAGAUUGAUUAUAUGAAAUAUCCACAUGAAACUUUUUUUU